CCAACAGGGAUUGCCCUAGUAACGGCGAGUGAAGCGGCAACGGCUCAAAUUUGAAAUCUGGCGCAAGCCCGAGUUGUAAUUUGUAGAGGAUGCUUCUGGGUAGCGGCCGGUCUAAGUUCCUUGGAACAGGACGUCAUAGAGGGUGAGAAUCCCGUAUGUGACUGGUUGGCGCCCUCCACGUAGCUCCUUCGACGAGUCGAGUUGUUUGGGAAUGCAGCUCUAAAUGGGUGGUAAAUUUCAUCUAAAGCUAAAUACCGGCCAGAGACCGAUAGCGCACAAGUAGAGUGAUCGAAAGAUGAAAAGCACUUUGGAAAGAGAGUUAAAAAGCACGUGAAAUUGUUGAAAGGGAAGCGCUU
This 356-nucleotide ribosomal RNA is filed under the name uncultured fungus. Its description in RNAcentral is "LSU rRNA". It matches the Rfam family "Eukaryotic large subunit ribosomal RNA", at positions 65 to 424 of the family's 3401-position model. The record is from RNAcentral. Lineage: Eukaryota; Fungi.